CCGUUACAAAGUGUACUUCUGAACCAGGCCUGGCUGAAGUUGUUUGUCAGAACGAAGCUGGCUCGUCCCCACUGUAGGAAAGCUGAUUUUCAUGGUCUUCUGGGAUGUACAGUGAACUGCACCUAUUUAUAUGCACUCUUCGGGGCUGGGGUGCCGCUCGUGCCAGGGUACAAGCUUCCCCAGCAUGGGGGCCCCGCUUCCAUCGCUGCUCCCAACCCGAAAGGAACCAGAAAAGCUGGCAGGACAGCAGGGUGCUGUGCGCCCCGCUGCUGCAGGACCCCCCUGUGAGCCCAGCAGAACCCCAGAAGCAGCAGCCAAGCCUCUGCGCCUGCAGCCCCACCCAGGUGCUGCCCGCCCUUCCCUGGGGCCUCUCCUCUCCUCAAGCACUGAGCCCCCCCACGGGGGUACCGGUCGGCCCCUGCUCAGAUCCAUCCCUGAAAAGAUUUCACUCUGCUCCAAAUGCUGACCUUCCAUAUCAGAGCAUGGAACCCUUGAAGCCAGUACUGCCGCUCCCUGAGCAUCUUGGACCCGCCGGGCCACAGUGGACCCGGGGAACCAGCCGAGUAGGUGCUGCCAAAUAGAUGAACAAGUCAAUCAGCAGAGCUGUUCGCUUUCAGGUUCGAGGUGGAGGAGAACUUCCCGGAACACCCCGCUCGGAGUUGUACGUCAGGCUCUGGGCAACCAGCGGGCUGAGCCAAGGGAAACCGUGGGAAGAUCGCUGCAGCGGAAAGACCGCACCGCAAGAGCCCGGUGGCUACGAACCCGAGGACUGGGGAGCGGAGGGCUGAAAGGGGCUCGCUGGGUCCCCAUGGACGAUGGCUGGCGUCUUUACUGUGCAUCCUGUCAAAUGCUUCCGCGCGUGGUUUUCAGAUCGUUGUCCAACGCUCCAAAAGUACACCCGCGAUUUCCAUGUGGAGAAACCGACAUUUGGAAAGCGUGAUGUCCCUGGAAUCAGAGAGCUGGUGGAGGCAGAGAAACCCUUGACAGUCUCCAGGUGCAAGGCCCAGUUGUAAUCCAAGAAGAACUGGACGCAGAGCUGCAGGCUCCCUGGCUUUGCUCUGGCCUCACGCUUACCGCAACAGACAUUGCUAAUGCGGUUUUUAGACAUAAUUGGAAAUGAUAUUAGGAAAUAAAUACCAAAAUAUUAACGUGUCCCGGGGACGCGGUACGAUUGUAAUAAAGUAGUCUCCCUUCUUGUGUGUGUGGGAGGGUACGUUUGUGACAGAAAAAUUAGUACAGAUUUCUUUUUCCUCCAAUUGUUUCAGCCCAACCAAUUCCCUUGCUUAAGCCCG
RNAcentral lists this long non-coding RNA (1292 nucleotides) under Fukomys damarensis (Damara mole-rat). RNAcentral describes it as "lncRNA (ENSFDAG00000027467.1)". Lineage: Eukaryota; Metazoa; Chordata; Mammalia; Rodentia; Bathyergidae. The record is from RNAcentral.